UGAACGGCGGCAACAAUGAAACACAACAAUGGAGUUGUCAUGAUUUUUUUUGAAGUGAAGUAUUGUUUUAUUCAAAAUGGAAGACUUGAAGCGCUGGGGGACCAUAGCGAUGCCGUCUAUGGCAUGAAAAUGAAAUGAAAUCGUGAUCGAGAUAUUGACACAACACCACAUUCAAAACAACAGAGCGGAAGAGAGAAGAAGAAUAGAAUAGAAGAGAGAGAGAGACACGGGACGUCACCCACAGAGGUUUUGGGGGGGUGAUAAGACCUCGGCUAAAUGGCGUCCGACUUAUCCCACCUCGCAUUCUUAUCUACAGCUCGAGAGCAGAGACGGUGUUUGUGUGUGUGUGUCGGUGAGAGUGCGUGGGAAGUGUGUCUGUUUACAGUUAGAAGCCCUGUACCUCCAAUACAUGUUGAACGUUUGCUUGAAUAUUAUCUAAAUCAACACAACAGAAUAAUGUUGAAGGCAGAAAAAGAAAAGCCCUCUUCGGGGGCGUGAAGAAAGCUUGGCCUGCCGAGAAGAGCCAAACGCACAACAACCACCACAAAAAGAGAGGUGUGAAAUGGUGGAGCGGCCUCAAAGUGACCCGGACUCUUUAAAACGACAAAGCUUUCAUACGGAACCAGCGACAGCGGCUCAAACAGCCGGAUAACAGACAGCAGCUGGAGACGUUUCUCACCAGCCGGGGAAACAAAACGGAGAAAUACCCGCCAUGAACAGCCUUGUUGUGAAGAAAGUUCACCUCAGUGCCACCGAUCACUUUAAAGCGAGUCCCCUCGAUGUACCCACCAGGUACCAUAAACUUUUAUUCUUUCUACUGGCCAUCCGGGGAGCCUCCUGUGGCUGUUAAAGUGGGUCAGUGGGAUGGAAGUCUAUGAAAAAGAACAUUCCCUUCUCCUUUGUGUGGUUUUAUCGUCUCGAUAUAUCGUGGUAUUCAUUUCCUAAAUGAUGUCCCGUUUACAGUCAAAUAGACUUUAAAGCAGAUUAGGCUUCAGGCCAUGACUGGUUUGCAUUUGACGGGUCCAUACUGCACUAAAUAUCGUCCCCUCAAACCUCUCAAACUGUGUUUUCCAUCCAUGACAGUUCGUCAAGAUGUAAGAUGGCGGAGGCCAAAAUACCGAAAACAAUGCUCAAAAACGUAAAUGAAUGUCCAAAUGUUUUUGUGUGUGGGAGUUUCAACCUGAGGCGCAAUCAUUAAUUAUCAUAGUGCUGCUUAGCUUCAUGAAAAGGUCACCGUCUCACUCAAGGGGAUUAUUCUCAAAAGAUUACCUCACAGUACUUAAAAGACUUCUGACCGGAAAGUAAUUCAGAAAUUAACUGGUGGUUCUUUUUGACCCAUAGAAUCACUGGGAUGACCAAUAGACUGUUUGGGGCGGAACAAACUUUAUGAGGAUCAGGAUUCAGUAGAGAGCCCGAGUUGGUCCCUCUAACACUAUUGAUUUGUGUGCUGUGACAUUUGAGGCCCCCUGACGUUACACGCAUUGUUUAAACCCGCCCACUGCUUUCUCCAUCACAGAGAGAAACGCAGACGUCUCAAGGUUGCUCUUGCCAAGAAGAUUAUGACAAUAGAUGCUACCUCGGGAUAAACUGCUGUAUCCUGAAAUCUUCAUUCUAGCUCGGUGAAGGCUGCAGACCACUCAAGUUAUUUUAUGUCUAGUAAUGAUCACGGUUGGAUUAACUGCACUUGGCACCGCCGCUGGCAAUCUGCAAAAAUGUACAAGUUCAAGGAGGAAAGUGCAGGAGCGAAAAUGUGUCUCGUUUAAACAUUCAAGACCCCAAUAGAAUGCUAAAGACAUAUGUGAUAUAUAGCAGGAAUGUAGAUAGAGUGCAGCAAUAUUUAUCUGACCUGAGAUAUGAAGCCUCUCUCCCUCUGUGUGUGUUGUAAUCUGAGCACCUGCUUUGUUUACUUACCACGUCUCACUCGGCCUGCCCAUAUGAGCCUAAAUCAGCACCCAUGUGAGCCUAAAUCAGCACCCAGGUGAGCUUAUAAAUCAGCACCCAUAUGAGCCUAAAUCAGCACCCAGGUGAGCUUAAAUCAGCACCCAUAUGAACCUAAAUCAGCACCCAGGUGAGCUUAUAAAUCAGCACCCAUAUGAGCCUAAAUCAGCACCCAUAUGAGCCUAAAUCAGCACCCAGGUGAGCUUUUAAAUCAACACCCAUAUGAGCCUAAAUCAGCACCCAUAUGAGCCUAAAUCAGCACCCAGGUGAGCUUAUAAAUCAGCACCCAUAUGAGCCUAAAUCAGCACCCAGGUGAGCUUAAAUCAGCACCCAUAUGAACCUAAAUCAGCACCCAGGUGAGCUUAAAUCAGCACCCAUAUGAACCUAAAUCAACACCCAGGUGAGUUUAAAUGUUGUUUGAUGCGGUUUAAACUGCUAGUUAGGAUCCUUUACUUACUUUACUAUCUGUGGUAUCAGCGCGCCUGGUAAGUGCAGUAAAAACAUUCAUGGAGGGUUAAAAUUCAACGCUUGAAAAUGUCUCUCAGAAAGGAAUCAGGAAUUAAAUCCAGUAUACAGAAGAAUCCCUUGACAUGCAAUGCGAAGUUGGUUCAGGGGCACCAGACUCCAUUGCGAAAUGUUUCGUCUUCUGUUUUGUCUAUUUUUUGUCAAACUCCAGUUGAAGGACCGAAUUCUUUGACCCUCCAGCUUUCAAAACCCAGCGGAUCAACACAAAAAAUAGAUGUUCGGUUAAGAACCAGCCUACUUGUUGCCGUUUCAAGCAGAGUCGUCCUCAAUGCGCAAAUGCAGACCGCGGGCUGUUGUUCACUGGACAGCAGCGGACUUAGCGGGCGGGCAGGUGAGGUCAAAAGACUCUUUACUCAGAAGCCCUUCGGUGUUUCAUGCAGCUGCAGAAUUCUCGAGCUGGUCACAAAAACAAAUCAGUGCGCACUGAAUGUCAGCGACAGAGGGGCUGCGAUGAGCUGCAGAAACGACGGACGAGCAGAGAUCACCAACCAGGCGGACGUAGGUAACACUAACUUGCUACCAAGCAAUUUUUUACGCCCCAGUCUAGGGGUGCCUAAGGUGCAACAUGAAUAGGCCCCAAUCUUCCCCGUC
This is a long non-coding RNA of Gasterosteus aculeatus aculeatus (three-spined stickleback), 3054 nucleotides long. The record is from Ensembl. NCBI's taxonomy places the organism in Eukaryota, Metazoa, Chordata, Actinopteri, Perciformes, Gasterosteidae.